Molecule: long non-coding RNA, 268 nt
Filed under: Dendronephthya gigantea
Lineage: Eukaryota; Metazoa; Cnidaria; Anthozoa; Malacalcyonacea; Nephtheidae
Description: uncharacterized LOC114531018
Source: RNAcentral
AUUUUCCUUGGUCAAGAGUGCAACAUGAGCUGUGGAUAUGAACUUUACUGUCAGAUGAACAUUGGAAGUGAGCAAAAUAUCUGCGCAAAGAUUUUCCCUGGUCAAGAGUGCAACAUGCGCCGUGGAUAUGAACUUUACUGUCAGAUGUACAUUGAUUGGAAAGUGAACAAGAUAUCUGCACUGAGAAUGAAUGAAGUUGAAGAGAGUUGAAAGGCACCCCUGAAGAACCUGAAUUAUUUUAGCCCUAUCCUAGAUUUAUAUAUUUUAG